CCUACGGGUGGCUGCAGUGGGGAAUAUUGGGCAAUGGGCGAAAGUCUGACCCAGCAACGCCGCGUGAAGGAUGAAGGCUUUCGGGUUGUAAACUUCUUUUGACAGGGAAGAGCAGAGGACGGUACCCGUCGAAUAAGCCACGGCUAACUACGUGCCAGGAGCCGCGGUAAUACGUAGGUGGCAAGCGUUGUCCGGGUUUGCUGGGUGUAAAGGGCGUGUAGGCGGGCUGACAAGUCAGAUGUGAAAUCCGGGGGCUCAACUCCCGAACUACAUUUGAAACUGUUGGUCUUGAGUAUCGGAGAGGCAGGCGGAAUUCCUAGUGUAGCGGUGGAAUGCGUAGAUAUUAGGAGGAACACCAGUGGCGAAGGCGAGCUGCUGGACGACAACUGACGGUGAGGCGCGAAAGCGUGGGGAGCAAACAGGAUUAGAUACCCCUGUAGUC
This 442-nucleotide ribosomal RNA is filed under the name uncultured bacterium. Its description in RNAcentral is "partial 16S ribosomal RNA". It matches the Rfam family "Bacterial small subunit ribosomal RNA", at positions 338 to 795 of the family's 1533-position model. The record is from RNAcentral.